CAAAUGAGCAGUGGAGCAGCUGAGGCCUCACCUGGCCUGUGAUGAGUUCACCUAGUCAGGAAGUCAUGGAGUGCGAUAUGCACCCUCUUUGCAGGUCAAGGACUGCUGGGUGUGGGCACAGGUGUGGGAAGUAGAUGGAGUGUUGAGAUGCACUGGCCCACCCCACCUGGUUCCUGCCCAUGUUAGGCCCCGCAGUGGCUGGGACCCACUCAGAACAAGACUGGGACGGUCUUGGGGGACAGACAGGGAAAAGAUAACCAGCAGCUAUGAGUGCCUCACCCAACUCAGGAAACUGUACCUGGUGAACCAGGACUUCAGUAAGGCCCCAGAAAGCCCCAGGAGCCAGAACCCUGGCAGAGUUGUGAGAGUGCUACAUACUAGGGUUGCACACAACCAACCAUCCCCCUUUUCCCCUGAGACCCCAGAAAGGGCAAGUAGAGUAGGCAGAUAGUGGCAAAGCAGGAAACUAGUCUUGAGAUGAUCCCAGGCUCUCUGUCCCUCCACACUCCAUGUACUGCUCCCAAUGGGGGCCUGAAAUGGUGCUGUUGGGGCCAAACUCAAGAAGACUUGAAAUUCCAGGAGCUAUCUAGAGUCACCUCCUCAUUUCCCUAUCCCUACCCAAAACUGUCUCUCAGUUCCUGGCAUCCCUAAGGCAACAUUAGAAAAGAUCCUCUUCAGAUGGCAGCAGGAACUGUCCCUGCUUCCUGGCUGUGAAGAGUAUUGCCUGUCAAUAUCUGGGGUAAGCAGUCUAUAGUUAGGCUGGGCUUAGCAGAUACAAGAUCAAUGCUCAGAGCCUGGCUUCAACCAGAGGAGACCGUCUCCUGCUCCAGCUAUAGAAAUAGGAGGUAGGGGGUUCUCCCCUCACCCCAAGAGCCAAGGCCAUGCUGAUCUCCUGGUUUUACCUCCUUAUUCCUAAGUUAAUUGGUUCAGGGGCCUAUGAAGAAACUCUGAGCUUGGGAGUCCUGGGGGCAACUGGCCAAGAUGCCCUCUCCCUGCCUCAUGCAAUUCCUCACCCAGGCCUAGCAUCCUAGCUCUCUCUCCCAAGUCCAGCCUCAAAAUGCCUCCCACAGCCAGGCAUCUCCACUCCUUUCCUAGAGGCCAAGGCCCCAACUCAGUUCUCCCUAUCAUCAGCCUCGAACCUGGCUGUGGAAAACCUGAAGAAAGGAGGUUGAGAAAACAGUCCAGUCCCACUGAGAUUGAAAUGUCAUGGGUUAGCUGGAGAGGAAGGUCAAAUCCUAAUAGCAUUUAUGAAAGAUAGCUCCUGGCUUUACCAACCCCAUUGCAAAAGAAACACAGAACUUUCCCCCUCCUCUGGCCUUGUACACACUGUGCUUUUUGUACUGCUGUUCCCCACUUUGUCAAUCUAGUCAAAGCCACAGCCUCAGGCGCAGGACUUGUCUUCUAGAAACAAUUCCUGAUAGUGUUACAAAAAUCAUGCUCAUCAAGAGACCAAGCAUCACUGGGAGAGUUGGAGAAGUCAGGUUUAUUUAUGCUGGUGGACCCAGAUGAGCCAGUGCUCUGAAGUACUGGGCCUGGAGCUGAAGUUACAACCAACAGCGCCACCUCUACAGGAGACUGCUACUAACACCUUUCUAUCACCAGAGGGCAUAAGUGUCCAAUCAACAGCACCACCUCCAUAUGCUGGGAGGCUCCCAACCCCCGCAGUUGAUAGUUGGGAUCCUGAGACAGGAUCUCAAAUAUUAACAUGCCCUGUAUUUGAGGCAGGAGGGCAGCGAAUUCACCAUGCUUUAAAUUUCAAAACAGUGGGCUGGGGAUGUGGCUCAAGCGGUAGCAUGCUCGCCUGGCAUGCAUGCGGCCCAGGUUCGAUCCUCAGCACCACAUACAAAGAUGUUGUGUCCGCCGAUAACUAAAAAAUAAAAAUAUUUAAAAAAAAAAUAAAAUAAAAUAAAAUAAAUUUCAAAACAGUGAAGCAGCUAAAAGAGGCUGUAACAACCUAUGGUCCUCAAGCACCCUUCACUGUAAGCUUGGUCGAAUCCAUUAACAACUUGAACAUGACACCAGCAGAUUGGGCUAAUAUGUGUAAAGCUGUGCUAAAUGGAGGACGAUACCUGUUAUGGAAGGUUGCCAAUGAGGAAUUUUGCAAGGAGAUGGCUAGGCGAAAUGCAGCAGCUGGUUAUCCUCAGAGAAAUCUAGAUAUGUUGUUAGGAAAGGGGCCUUAUGAGGAUCAGCAGCAACAAAUUGCAUAUGAUCCUGGCGUAUACGCACAAAUUGCUGCAGAGGCGGUUAGGGCAUGGAAGACUUUACAAGGACAUGGAGGUUUACAAGGUCAAUUAUCUAAGGUAAUACAAGGAGCUAAUGAAUCUUACUCUGAAUUUGUAGAUAGGCUUAUUCAAACAGCUACCAGAGUUUUUGGGAAUACAGAACAAGCAAUGCCAUUAAUAAAACAACUGGCUUAUGACCAAG
Molecule: long non-coding RNA, 2424 nt
Filed under: Marmota monax (woodchuck)
Lineage: Eukaryota; Metazoa; Chordata; Mammalia; Rodentia; Sciuridae
Source: RNAcentral